Molecule: ribosomal RNA, 460 nt
Filed under: uncultured bacterium
Lineage: Bacteria
Description: partial 16S ribosomal RNA
Rfam family: Bacterial small subunit ribosomal RNA
Source: RNAcentral
CCUACGGGUGGCAGCAGUGAGGAAUAUUGGUCAAUGGACGAGAGUCUGAACCAGCCAAGUAGCGUGAAGGAUGACGGCCCUAGGGGUGGUAAACUUCUUUUAUAUGGGAAUAAAAGGUUGCACGUGUGGGAUUUUGUAUGUACCAUAUGAAUAAGGAUCGGCUAACUACGUGCCAGCAGCCGCGGUAAUACGGAGGAUCCGAGCGUUAUCCGGAUUUAUUGGGUUUAAAGGGAGCGUAGGUGGAUUGUUAAGUCAGUUGUGAAAGUUUGCGGCUCAACCGUGAAAUUGCAGUUGAAACUGGCAGUCUUGAGUACAGUAGAGGUAGGCGGAAUUCGUGGUGUAGCGGUGAAAUGCUUAGAUAUCACGAAGAACUCCGAUUGCGAAGGCAGUUCACUGGACUGCAACUGACGCUGAGGCUCGAAAGUGUGGGUAUCAAACAGGACUAGAUACCCGGGUAGUC